Molecule: ribosomal RNA, 468 nt
Filed under: uncultured bacterium
Lineage: Bacteria
Description: partial 16S ribosomal RNA
Rfam family: Bacterial small subunit ribosomal RNA
Source: RNAcentral
GACGAACGCUGGCGGCGUGCUUAACACAUGCAGGUCGAACGGAAAGGCCCUGCUUUUGUGGGGUGCUCGAGUGGCGAACGGGUGAGUAACACGUGAGUAACCUGCCCUUGACUUUGGGAUAACUUCAGGAAACUGGGGCUAAUACCGGAUAGGAGCUCCUGCUGCAUGGUGGGGGUUGGAAAGUUUCGGCGGUUGGGGAUGGACUCGCGGCUUAUCAGCUUGUUGGUGGGGUAGUGGCUUACCAAGGCUUUGACGGGUAGCCGGCCUGAGAGGGUGACCGGCCACAUUGGGACUGAGAUACGGCCCAGACUCGUACGGUAGGCAGCAGUGGGGAAUAUUGCACUAUGGGCGGAAGCCUGAUGCAGCAACGCCGCGUGCGGGAUGACGGCCUUCGGGUUGUAAACCGAUUUCGCCUGUGACGAAGCGUGAGUGACGGUAAUGGGUAAAGAAGCACCGGCUAACUACGUG